Mastomys coucha (southern multimammate mouse) is the source of this 107-nucleotide small nuclear RNA. Lineage: Eukaryota; Metazoa; Chordata; Mammalia; Rodentia; Muridae. The record is from RefSeq and is a predicted model, not a curated record.
GUGCUCAUUUCUACAGCACAGACUCUGAAAUUGUAACCAUACAAAGAAGAUCAAAGUGGUUCCCGGUCAAGGAUGGUCUGCAAAUUUGUGAAGCAGUUCAUAUUUUA